CUUCCAGCAGUUGCUCUGCUGUGACUUCUAUUCCCAGCAAGCCAGACAGCCAGAUUGACAGGUCUUCUUGCAUAGGCACCAAAGUUGCUUCAUGCCGCACAGAUAUCCACUGGUCAUACAGGCACACAUCUGCCAGACCUGGGCCGUGUCUGGGAGUCAGAGGACUUCGAGGACAUAAAGGAAGGUCAUCUCCAAACCACACCUGAACUGCAUUCUGCAUGGUCACCUGCAU
This 232-nucleotide long non-coding RNA is filed under the name Gallus gallus (chicken). The record is from RNAcentral. Lineage: Eukaryota; Metazoa; Chordata; Aves; Galliformes; Phasianidae.